AGCAUUUGGGGCUUUGGUUAAUGAAAAGAGGGUGGGAAUUGCUAUGUUACCCGCACACUCCAGUAGCUUAGUCAAUCCCUUUGCGGUUCAUCAAGUCAUGAUAGUAAAGUAACACGCUCAUUGGUUGACCAAGAAUGCUGAAUAUGAACCAGAAGAUCAUGUUCCCAACCAUAGAGUUUUUGAACAUAUUUUGUAGGUAAUUUGUUAUCAAAACCAGCGGAACCUGAAACAU
Molecule: unclassified non-coding RNA, 232 nt
Filed under: Hevea brasiliensis (rubber tree)
Lineage: Eukaryota; Viridiplantae; Streptophyta; Magnoliopsida; Malpighiales; Euphorbiaceae
Source: RNAcentral